Molecule: ribosomal RNA, 468 nt
Filed under: uncultured bacterium
Lineage: Bacteria
Description: partial 16S ribosomal RNA
Rfam family: Bacterial small subunit ribosomal RNA
Source: RNAcentral
GACGAACGCUGGCGGCGUGAUUAACACAUGCAAGUCGAACGGAAAGGCCCUGCUUUUGUGGGGUGCUCGAGUGGCGAACGGGUGAGUAACACGUGAGUAACCUGCCCUUGACUUUGGGAUAACUUCAGGAAACUGGGGCUAAUACCGGAUAGGAGCUCCUGCUGCAUGGUGGGGGUUGGAAAGUUUCGGCGGUUGGGGAUGGACUCGCGGCUUAUCAGCUUGUUGGUGGGGUAGUGGCUUACCAAGGCUUUGACGGGUAGCCGGCCUGAGAGGGUGACCGGCCACAUUGGGACUGAGAUACGGUCCAGACUCCUACGGGAGGCAGCAGUGGGGAAUAUUGCACAAUGGGCGGAAGCCUGAUGCAGCAACGCCGCGUGCGGGAUGACGGCCUUCGGGUUGUAAACCGCUUUCGCCUGUGACGAAGCGUGAGUGACGGUAAUGGGUAAAGAAGCACCGGCUAACUACGUG